CAGCUAGUUGGUAAGGUAACGGCUUACCAAGGCUACGAUGGGUAGGGGUCCUGAGAGGGAGAUCCCCCACACUGGUACUGAGACACGGACCAGACUCCUACGGGAGGCAGCAGUGAGGAAUAUUGGACAAUGGGCGCAAGCCUGAUCCAGCCAUGCCGCGUGCAGGAUGACGGUCCUAUGGAUUGUAAACUGCUUUUAUACGAGAAGAAACACUACUUCGUGAAGUAGCUUGACGGUAUCGUAAGAAUAAGGAUCGGCUAACUCCGUGCCAGCAGCCGCGGUAAUACGGAGGAUCCAAGCGUUAUCCGGAAUCAUUGGGUUUAAGGGGUCCGUAGGCGGUUUAAUAAGUCAGUGGUGAAAGCCCAUCGCUCAACGGUGGAACGGCCAUUGAUACUGUUAGACUUGAAUUAUUAGGAAGUAACUAGAAUAUGUAGUGUAGCGGUGAAAUGCUUAGAGAUUACAUGGAAUACCAAUUGCGAAGGCAGGUUACUACUAAUGGAUUGACGCUGAUGGACGAAAGCGUGGGUAGCGAACAGGAUUAGAUACCCUGGUAGUCCACGCCGUAAACGAUGGAUACUAGCUGUUGG
RNAcentral lists this ribosomal RNA (587 nucleotides) under uncultured Bacteroidota bacterium. RNAcentral describes it as "SSU rRNA". It matches the Rfam family "Bacterial small subunit ribosomal RNA", at positions 242 to 826 of the family's 1533-position model. Lineage: Bacteria; Pseudomonadati; Bacteroidota. The record is from RNAcentral.